GCCACGGUCGCAUAACCAGGUAUUGCGCCGGCCUUGAGAGCCGGUUCCCUUACGGGAAUUCCCGGUUCGAAUCCGGGCCGUGGCG
This 85-nucleotide transfer RNA is filed under the name Candidatus Woesearchaeota archaeon. RNAcentral's name for it is "tRNA-Ser". It matches the Rfam family "tRNA". From Rfam's summary of the family: Transfer RNA (tRNA) molecules are approximately 80 nucleotides in length. Their secondary structure includes four short double-helical elements and three loops (D, anti-codon, and T loops). Lineage: Archaea; Nanobdellati; Candidatus Woesearchaeota. The record is from RNAcentral.